GAAAAUCCACGGCUUAAAAAGAAAGUAUGUAUUUAUUAUUUAUUUAAUAUUGAGGAAAUUGACUGUCAUAUGGUUGUAUAUUUAUUUAGUCAUUUCUGUGUGUCCUGUGAUGGCUGAGUCUUAGUAGUCUUAAAAUCCAUUGCUAAUAUUUAAAUAAAGAAAAAAAACAUGGCUAGAAAGAAAAUCAUAGAAUAUUGUUUGAUUUGCUUUCAUAGAUAUACCAGCAGUUAUUCCUAAGCAGAAUAACCAACAAAAGCAGUCACUGUUCUGUUGGUAUCAGAUUGUCUUUGUGCCAGCAAGGAGUUGUUUGCGUUUUGUCAGGAAAAAUAAGACCAAGAAAAUAGAAGGAUAAAAUGUUUCUUCCCCGAGCGCUUUGUAGUGGCCAACACUGGCUAACCCAAAACAUCUUUAAUGUACCAGAGAUGUUUUAAUGCCUUUUGAUCAAAUAUUUUUUCUCUGUUUAUUCUUUUCUCUAAAUGUCUUGGGCAGAAGCUCCAUAGAGCUCUUUUCCAGUGUGUUCUAGAGCUCUGUUCAAGUGUGUUCUAGAGCUCUGUUCCAGUGUGUUCUAGAGCUCUGUUCCAGUGUGUUCUAGAGCUCUGUUCCAGUGUGUUCUAGAGCUCUGUUCCAGUGUGUUCUAGAGCUCUGUUCCAGUGUGUUCUAGAGCUCUGUUCCAGUGUGUUCUAGAGCUCUGUUCCAGUGUGUUCUAGACUAGAUGUCUGGGUCUAAAACACUUUAAGGAAAAACUAAACCAUCAAGGAGAAUGACAACUAAUAUCAGAUCCACUACGCCCAUGUAGCCUUAUUUUAGAUUUCAUUUGUUGAUGCACAAAGUGCCACAAACCCCUCACUUUCUUUCCUGAUUCUUUGCAUUCUGCAAUGUACAAUGUCUAGUCACGUGACAUGACCAGGGCGUCAGACCGAGAGUUGGGUUGUUUCAGAUGCCUUUGUUUCUUUGCCAAGAUGGCCAUAAGUACACUGUAUAUACAUUCUGUAUAAAUAGAAAUUUAAAAGCUAUAUGAAUAGAAACAUGCAUAUAUUUUUCCAGUGUAAUUGUUGCCUCUUUUCCUCUUCUGUUAGCUUAUCAGAGGAACUACACCUGUCUGAGAGUUGUGACGAAUAGAGGCGGAUAUGACUGUGGCUUUUUAGGUUUCCUUUUCUAUGGAUUUCUCUCUAUCUUUGAUCCAGACAUGGUGAAAAUGCUAACGCAUGUUGUAGUGAAUCUGAAAUGCUAACGCAUGUUGUAGUGAAUCUGAAAUGCUAAUGUAUGUUGUAGUGAAUCUGAAAUGUCUGUAAUCUUAACUAAAUGGUUGGCUCUUCGUUCAAGUGUCCUGUGAGUGAGUUCAUGCAUAGAGGCCUCUUUGGUCACAUUGGCGCUAUAUUGUGCAGUACUGUGUCGUUGUGAUAAGAUUAUGAUAAGGUCAGCUCUCAAACACAGAUCACAACGUUAAAGAGCCAAUAGGGAAAGUGUAGUACUUGCUCUGAGUGAUCUGUUGCAACUAGGAGGAGACCCUGUGAAAAUAUGAUGAGGUAACCUAGUGGGAGACCCUGUGGUAAUAUAAUGAGGUAGCCUAGUGGGAGACCCUGUGAUAAUAUAAUGAGGUAGCCUAAUGGGAGACCCUGUGAUAAUAUGAUGAGGUAGCCUAG
This is a long non-coding RNA of Oncorhynchus tshawytscha (Chinook salmon), 1643 nucleotides long. The record is from Ensembl. NCBI's taxonomy places the organism in Eukaryota, Metazoa, Chordata, Actinopteri, Salmoniformes, Salmonidae.